CCAAUAGCGUAUAUUAAAGUUGUUGCAGUUAAAAAGCUCGUAGUUGAAUUUCGGGAUUAGUACGCUGGUCGUGCCUUCGGUACGUACUGGUGUUACUGAUUUCUACCUUCUGACGAACCAUCAUGUCAUUAAUUUGGUGUGGUGGGGAAUCAGGACUGUUACUUUGAAAAAAUUAGAGUGUUUAAAGCAGGCUCGCGCUUGAAUACAUUAGCAUGGAAUAAUGAAAUAGGACGUUGAUCCUAUUUUGUUGGUUUUUAGGAUUGACGUAAUGAUUAAUAGGGAUAGUUGGGGGCAUUAGUAUUCAAUUGUCAGAGGUGAAAUUCUUGGAUUUAUUGAAGACUAACUACUGCGAAAGCAUUUGCCAAGGAUGUUUUCAUUAAUCAAGAACGAAAGUUAGGGGAUCGAAGACGAUCAGAUACCGUCGUAGUCUUAACCAUAAACUAUGCCGACUAGGGAUCGGAUGAUGUUAUUUUUAAUGACUCAUUCGGCGCCUUACG
This 497-nucleotide ribosomal RNA is filed under the name uncultured Glomeromycotina. RNAcentral's name for it is "partial small subunit ribosomal RNA". It matches the Rfam family "Eukaryotic small subunit ribosomal RNA", at positions 591 to 1092 of the family's 1831-position model. Lineage: Eukaryota; Fungi; Glomeromycota. The record is from RNAcentral.